RNAcentral lists this unclassified non-coding RNA (5374 nucleotides) under Leishmania donovani. Its description in RNAcentral is "gene:LdHU3.35.1140(CDS-product:hypothetical_prote in_conserved)". The record is from RNAcentral. Lineage: Eukaryota; Euglenozoa; Kinetoplastea; Trypanosomatida; Trypanosomatidae.
UAGGCGAUCACCGUCCUUUGUUCCUCCUUUGUUUUUCGUUUGACAUUUCUCCCAUUGACGACUCUACUCCUGCUUUGUUCGGCUGUUUUUUUUUUUUAUUCCGUUGACGCAUGUGUCUGCCCAUUCUUAGUUUCGCCAUUUGCCGCUGUUGUUGUUGCCAGCCAUCUACCCCCCCCCACGACCCUGCAUGUAUGGCUGUUGCUCCUAGCGAGCCUGCAGAGCAUCUGUCGCCCUUUGCGCACAUACACACACACGCAUACGCACUCUCCUCUCUCGUGCUCCUCCUCGCAGCUUUUGUUGUUAUUGUCUAUCUCCUUUUUAUUCUCUGUAGAGUAGCGCCCUUCCUCCCUCCCUCUCUUGUGGGUAUGCCUGUGACUACUCCCCUUCACACGCAAACGCACAUUUGUGUUCUUGUAGCUGGAUUUGUCACUUGAAGGUCCAUUAGAAGCUGCUGUGCACGUCAUCGCCGACUCACCGCUGCCCCCCCAUCCCUUCCUCUCCUCUGCCUCUCCGCCCCUUGCGCGCACGUGCUUCUCCGCACUCUCCUCCUCUCUCUCCCUCUUGUGUUCUUUUGUUGUUGUUUCGACUGUCAAGUCCUCGCCUCUGUCUCGACGCGUUCGAUGCAUGCCUCCGUACUCGUCUGCUUUCUCGGGUCUUUCUGCGUCUCUUCCUUCCGUUUAACGUCUCGUCACCAGCGUGCCUGUCCUCCACACCUUCCCCCUCCCCCUGCUCUCUCCACCCUGUCUGGCGGACAAGCACGAGAAGUCGCCGGAGACGCCAUCCAUCAUGAACACCACUGUGGAUGUGGCUGCCUGGCCGAUCGGGCAAACUAGUUCGGAUCGCAGUAGCAGCAGCAGCAGCGGUUUUCCACUCGCCAUCUGCCUGCACCGGUACCUGCGGUGGCUCGGGCAGCUCCACGGCACCAUCGACGCCGUCAGCGACGAUGCCUACACACUCGACCGUCUUCUUUGCCAAGGGGUGCUUCCGCUCCGUCAGCGUACUGGCGUCGCACCCACCCUGGCGGAAGCGCGAUUGUGCGCCGCUGUUUGCGCGCUGCUCAUCGGAGACACCGCGGCACAGUCGGCGCGCCCGCAGGAAAACAUGCGGGCGACGUCAGCAACAACGACCGGGGGCGGGUAUAGCGCAGCAAGUCUCAGGAGUGCUGCCUUUUCACCACCAAUUGUGCACACCGAGGCCCCCUCCUGCCCGUGUCGCGUCUACUUUGAGCAGCAGCAGCGAGAGGUGGAGAGUCGUCGUCUUUCGCUCAGUCGGCGAAGCAGCCAAGAGGACGACGACAAGGAAAGCCACGCCGGGCAUGCGGCCACCAUCAGCAGUGCCAGUGGCAGCGAUGACGAGAGCAAGGAUUGUGCGGUGCACCUCAGUGCAACUAUGUCCCAUUUACCGGCCAGGUUGAAGGAUGUCUCACGCGACGUUGAUAACACCGGCAGCAGUGGCGGGCUGGCAGGUGCGCUACUCGCACACACGGUGACGCUUGGUUGCAGCCGAAGCAGUUCCAGUCCUCGUGGAGAUGUCGCCGCUUUUGGAAGGAAGGUGCGCGCCGGCUCGCGCCCGUCAGUCGCGCCGUCCCAGCCGGUGCCUCUCCUCCUUCCUGUCGCUGCAGCCACGCCUUCUUCUGCCGCUUUGGUUGAGCUCCGCAGCGAUGCACCACAGGCGAAUUCUAAUGGAGACGCACAACGCCAUCAGCGUGGUGGCCGCGAAGGCAGUGACUCCUCUGCUGCUUCAUUUUUUCGGCCACGCCCCAUGCCCGUUGGCGCUGACACCCGAGCGCACCGCACUCUCCACCCCAUGCUGGCCCACGUCAGGCCCGAAGAUGUUCGACGCUGCUCGCUCUGCAGCGCGCAGGUGCUGCUCGAGAGCGCGUGGCAUGCUAUAUAUCAGAUGAGCUUACUGACGCUGUUGAGCGCUGCCCCCUCCAUGGCCGCUCCGCUACCGCUGCCACCUCCAGAUGUCCUGCGCAUGCACCCGGCCGAGGCCCUCCUGCUGUUGUACCAGUGCGCUCAACGGUGCUUCGUGUCGGGCAUUAUCAUGGCGACGUCUGUUGGUCUACCAGCAUCCUCGGUGAGAGGUGGUUCAUCCUCGCCGCAGGGAGACGUGAGCGCACAGUCGCUAAGCGCACUGGAUGUGCUGCGCGGUUGCCACGGUGGUGAGGCUGCCACUACCGCUGGCCUUUCUGAGCAGCAGCAGCGGCGCACCACUGAAGAGGGUGUGCUCGCAGGGCUUGCAGGCGGCCUGCUUUGCGUAGUGGAAGGCGUCAUUGGCACAGCUGCUCCACAGCUGUGGCCGCGCGCGACCACAGCUGCGCCGGUGAAACAGGCAGUGGAGGACAUCAUGGGCGAUGCGCUGAGGCUACGCUUUGGGCUCUUCCACACUAUUUUUGUGAUCCUUACCACCGAGGACGGCAGCCGCGCGGCACUGAAGAAUCUGGCAACUGUCUGUGGUGAGCUACUAGCAUGUCUGCAGCGUCUUACAUUCUGGCACCAGAAGGGCCUCGUAUCGUCCGAGUCCUCAUCACGCUCCUUCUCGCUGGCGCAGAGGAGCGAUGGGGACACUCACCUCCCUGAGGGCGAUGAACAGGGGAUGAUAAGCAGCAAGGAAGCCUCAGGGGAGGCCGCUGAUGCUGUGGCUGCGGAAAAGCUGCCGUCAUCAUCGACCUCUGUGGACGCUAACCCUAUCGACGCGGCCCAUGAAGCGCUCACCCAGGCAUUCGCGCUUCUCGACGUCCCUCACACCACUGCAGGUGGCGUUGGCGACGUCAUCGACGGCAAAGCCAUGACUGUUUUGAUGGAGGAUAUAAGCGUUCUGUGCUGCGUCGCGGCCCUCGUCGGAUCCUUCGCAAGGCUGGUCCACACGCGCGAGAUGUUAGCGAGCGUAGCUGCCGAUGCAUUACUGUCCGCAUCGAAGCUCGCCUUCCCCUCCUCGCAGUUGUCGUCCUCGCCGCUACUGUCACUGCAUCAUAACAGCCUCCUCCUCGACUGUCAUGUCUAUCCGUGUCUUCAGCGACUUCAGAGCUCUAUUCGAGGAGACUGUAGUGUGCAAGCGCGCCAUCUUAUCGCCCUGUGGUGGUUACUGCGUGCAGAAACCGUGCGGCACUGGGUGUGGGCAGCAACGAGCGGGCCGUCUCACGUGCAGGGCUGCAGCACCUUGGACACGGCAGAGGAGUUGCACUCGACGGAGGGCUCCGCGUUGCAUGUUUUAGGCGUCAACAUCACAUUGUACGAGGACCUGAAACGUGACGCGCAGCCGAUUCAAAAGCAGCAGCGUCAGCACUGGCCCCAGUGGCUCAAGGAUGCCUCUCGAGCAGCGGUGCGCGCGAGCGACGUAGCAAAUGAAUUUCUUGGGCUCACCCUCAUCCAGGCCUGGUCCUCCGCCUCCUCACCACUCGUGAAGAAGUCGCCGUCGCCGGUAAUGUCCGACGCAUCGAUGGCCGCGCCUCUGCGCUGGCGGUUGCCGGCGUCUUCGGCGCCGCCCUUGUCACCGCAGACGCCCGGCGCCUUCCUCCCUUUGCCGUGGAUUCGCCUGUGGCUGUUACUGUGUCCUCCGUUGUUCCGCAUCUCGCCCGCCGACGUCGUCGCACUACGCCAAAGAGUUCAGCGACAGCCGCAGCACGGAGAGGAGGAGGCGCCGAGGGCGUUUGGGGUGCCGACCACAGCAAACCGCGGCGCGGUGCCGGUCGAAACUAAAAGAAGCUUAGCCGUCGCCACCAACAAGAUGAGGUCGAUUCAGGCACGCCAAGCUUCGCCAAAGAGCACCCACCAGCUCGGCAGCCGCGCGCAGCCGAAAGCAACUCAACGCACCGCCGGCGCACUUACUUCGUUGGGGCUCGCUAGCCCACGCAUAGGCAGCCGCAACCGCGGUGGGAGCGUCACCGGCGCCACCGCCUCUCCAAGCGACAAUCAGGGCAAGGAAGCACAGCUUCAGCGGCGUCUGCAGCUGAGCAAAGAGCCAUUGUGCUUCUGGCUUCGAUGGUGUCUUCUCUUUACACCCUCGCCUCUUGUGCAGCCUCGGUCGAUCGAUUCGGACGUGCCAAGGAAGUCCUCCUCGACCUUGCUGUUGUCUGCGCUUGAGUACGUCGUUAUAGGUUUGCGUCGCCCCAUGGCUGCGUGGAUUCAAGGGCCGCAGCGCAGUGCAGCGCCGUCGACGGAGCUUGUCUGUUUGCUUCAGCAUGCCUUUCCUCUUUACACCCCUGCGAACGUGGUGACGGCAUUAAAGGUCCAAGCGCAGCUGUUUCUGGAGCGCGAGGUGGAUCUGCAGCACGGAGUGGCGACUGAGACUCAGGCGGCAGCGGCUCCGCUGCCCAUGCGCGAGACUCUUGAAGGUUUCACCUUCGCCCCUUACUCCUUUGCCGCUGCACUGGCAGCUCUGCAGGACGUGGUAAAGCACUCAAAGCACUCGCAGGUGGCAGCAGUGAGGUCCAUCCCGCCCCACGAGCAGGACGUCUCUCGAGCCGCGACUUCCGAGUCACUAUCCGCGGCAGACCCUCCUCACUCAAAGCCAAAGCAGCUCGUCCCAUCACCGCCUUAUGUCGAGAGCCGAAGUUGCAGCGUCGUCGGCGCUGCAACCGUCGCCACAGUGACUCAAUCAACUCAACACAGUGGAACUCGCCGAUCACCGUUGGUGCCAGCACGCGUCCUCUCGCGACGCGUCGCCGGCACGAGCGCCAAGUCCUCCGCUACAGGCACAGCCACCGGUGAAGGCGAUUGGGGUAAAGUUGAAAAGGCCGCGAAGUCUGCGGCUGCGGAUGGCAUGGAGCCCGGGACAGCUGACUCCACGACCGCGGAAAGCGCACGACGGACGUCUGCUAUCUGAUCUUCUUUGCUACGCGGCGCCCCUCCACCGCCGUGCCUGAUGAAGGUCACUGGAUGAAAAGGCGGCCGAACGCAAGCUUCGCCUCUUUGGUGUCUGCUUUCCUUGUCGAUCGUGCACAGCUGCCUGUGACGUGAUCACACUGGAUGUUGCAUGCGUGAAAAGCCGUGUCGUUAGUAGAAUGCCAUCAGUCGCUUGUUUUUUUUUUUUUUCGUGGCGUGGCCGCACUGAGCGGGAGCGAUCGCCCAGCGGACGCUAUCUGUUCAAGCGCGACACUGUUUUCUUGUUGGGGGGAGGGAGGGGCAGUCGCGAGCGACGCUGCCGGGGAGAAAAGAGAAAACAAAAAGGAGUCAGGCAGAUGGGCUCACUGCUGUUGCGCCUCGAAGGGCGCAGCAGUAUGUGCGCUUUGUCGUACUCCGCUGCUUUUCACUGCCGCCUCCUGGGCUGGCAGCUCCACUAGGUCGGCCGCAUCCACCGGCCCUCAUCAUCUCCCACCAUCACCACCACCACCACCCCUCACCUCUGCGUGUGUGUUCUCCGCUCCACAUUG